This 467-nucleotide ribosomal RNA is filed under the name uncultured bacterium. RNAcentral describes it as "partial 16S ribosomal RNA". It matches the Rfam family "Bacterial small subunit ribosomal RNA", at positions 28 to 507 of the family's 1533-position model. The record is from RNAcentral.
GAUGAACGCUGACAGAAUGCUUAACACAUGCAAGUCCACUUGAAUUUGGGUUUUUAACUUAGGUUUGGGUGGCGGACGGGUGAGUAACGCGUAAAGAACUUGCCUCACAGCUAGGGACAACAUUUGGAAACGAAUGCUAAUACCUAAUAUUAUGAUAAUAGGGCAUCCUAUAAUUAUGAAAGCUAUAAGCGCUGUGAGAGAGCUUUGCGUCCCAUUAGCUAGUUGGAGAGGUAACGGCUCACCAAGGCGAUGAUGGGUAGCCGGCCUGAGAGGGUGAUCGGCCACAAGGGGACUGAGACACGGCCCUUACUCCUACGGGAGGCAGCAGUGGGGAAUAUGGGACAAUGGACCAAGAGUCUGAUCCAGCAAUUCUGUGUGCACGAUGAAGUUUUUCGGAAUGUAAAGUGCUUUCAGUUGGGAAGAAAGAAAUGACGGUACCAACAGAAGAAGUGACGGCUAAAUACGUG